Molecule: non-coding RNA, 630 nt
Organism: Callorhinus ursinus (northern fur seal)
Lineage: Eukaryota; Metazoa; Chordata; Mammalia; Carnivora; Otariidae
Source: the annotation of a RefSeq genome assembly
ACUGCCCACCCACUCAGCCCAUGGGGAGGCAGUUUGGGAAGGGAGGCCCAAGGGGAUGCAAGGGCUUCAGCUCCCCUGUCCGUCUCCUCAUCUGCAAAGUUAGGGAGCCCGUCUGGAAUAUCUCUGGGAUCCUUUCCGACUAUCCAUUCCAGCCUUCGGACAAGUUCUGCAUAUUAAGCCAGGGGAUCCCCAGAGCUAAGUUUCUUUCCUUAUUUGUCUUCCAGGAGGUGCUUAGAGCUGCAAGGAGCGCCCCUUCCCAUUAUGGGUAAUCAGGUGAUCUGCUGUGUGGCUCUUUGUCUCCUCGGAGCAGGCACAGCGGCUGGUGGAAUCACUCAGACCCCAAAAUACUUGUUCAGAGAGGAAGGACAAGAGGUGACUCUGGAAUGUCAACAGGAUUUUAAUCAUGACUCUAUGUACUGGUACCGACAGGACCCAGGGCAAGGGCUAAGACUGAUCUACUACUCGCUGACAGAAAAUGAUAUUCAGAAAGGAGACAUACCUGAAGGCUACAGUGCCUCUCGGGGGAAGAAAGCAUUCUUCCCCCUCAUUGUGACAUCGAUUCGAAAGAACCAGACAGCUCUAUAUCUCUGUGCCAGUAGUGCAGACACAGUGAAGCCCAGCCAUUCGGGG